This 585-nucleotide long non-coding RNA is filed under the name Carassius auratus (goldfish). RNAcentral describes it as "lncRNA (ENSCARG00000064834.1)". Lineage: Eukaryota; Metazoa; Chordata; Actinopteri; Cypriniformes; Cyprinidae. The record is from RNAcentral.
AUACAUUGAUAAUGGCUGAACGUCAGAAGAGACAAAGAUUGCAUUUGCAUAUCUCCACCCAUCCUGUGUCCUCCUGACCAAAGAAUCUACGGCUGCCAACGUAGAAGCCCUUAGCGAUCAUCACCCCACAGAUUUGUCCUCAAAACCCUUGGCUCCAAACAGGAGGGACUCGUCCAGGCAGUGUUGGAAGUAAUGACAUCUGUAUUGGAGAACACUUGCGUGCAAAGUUGGACUUCUUUCUCAGAGCUCUGCCUUUGUCUUUGUUCCCCAAAAGACCCAGGAAAAUCCGCCAUGACCUCUGAUGAACUAAAGCUGGCCGUGCUCAGAUCCCUGGAUGUGCUAUUGCACUCUGCCUACGAUGUUCUUCCACCAAUGUUUGCUUCUGAUGAGGACAUGGAUGUUCCUGCAGAGAAACAGGAGCUUUCUCUUCAUAUCCAGAUUGCAAAAGACGUGAUGGAGAGAUGCAUCCACCUGCUCUCUGACCCCAACCUGGGAAUCCGACUCAAGGUGUCGUGUGGUGAUUUCCUGAGGACACGCGUGUCUGAAGAGGUUCUGUAUGAGUGGAGGCGGAUCUGGAUCGGGUGA